GACGAACGCUGGCGGCGUGCUUAACACAUGCAAGUCGAACGGAAAGGCCCUGCUUUUGUGGGGUGCUCGAGUGGCGAACGGGUGAGUAACACGUGAGUAACCUGCCCUUGACUUUGGGAUAACUUCAGGAAACUGGGGCUAAUACCGGAUAUGAGCUCCUGCUGCAUGGUGGGGGUUGGAAAGUUUCGGCGGUUGGGGAUGGACUCGCGGCUUAUCAGCUUGUUGGUGGGGUAGUGGCUUACCAAGGCUUUGACGGGUAGCCGGCCUGAGAGGGUGACCGGCCACAUUGGGACUGAGAUACGGCCAAGACUCAUACGGGAGGCAGCAGUGGGGAAUAUUGCACAAUGGGCGGAAGCCUGAUGCAGCAACGCCGCGUGCGGGAUGACGGCCUUCGGGUUGUAAACCGCUUUCGCCUGUGACGAAGAGUGAGUGACGGUAAUGGGUAAAGAAGCACCGGCUAACUACGUG
Molecule: ribosomal RNA, 468 nt
Filed under: uncultured bacterium
Lineage: Bacteria
Description: partial 16S ribosomal RNA
Rfam family: Bacterial small subunit ribosomal RNA
Source: RNAcentral